Molecule: ribosomal RNA, 459 nt
Filed under: uncultured bacterium
Lineage: Bacteria
Description: partial 16S ribosomal RNA
Rfam family: Bacterial small subunit ribosomal RNA
Source: RNAcentral
CCUACGGGUGACAGCAGUGAGGAAUAUUGGUCAAUGGGCGGAAGCCUGAACCAGCCAAGUCGCGUGAGGGAUUAAGGCCCUGCGGGUCGUAACCUCUUUUGCCGGGGAGCAGAGGUCCGGACGUGUCCGGGCCGGGAGAGUACCCGGAGAAAAAGCAUAGGCUAACUCCGUGCCAGCAGCCGCGGUAAUACGGAGGAUGCGACCGUUAUCCGGAUUUAUUGGGUGUAAAGGGUGCGUAGGCGGGCGUUUAAGCCGGCGGUCAAAUGGCGGGGCCCACCCCCGGCCUGCCGUCGGAACUGGGUGCCUUGAGUGGGCUAGAGGUAUGCGGAAUGCGUGGUGUAGCGGUGAAAUGCUUAGAGAUCACGCAGAACCCCGAUUGCGAAGGCAGCAUACCGGCGCCCUACUGACGCUGAGGCACGAAAGUGCGGGUAUCGAACAGGAUUAGAUACCCCAGUAGUC